Molecule: long non-coding RNA, 154 nt
Organism: Colias croceus (clouded yellow)
Lineage: Eukaryota; Metazoa; Arthropoda; Insecta; Lepidoptera; Pieridae
Exons: 3
Source: RefSeq, a predicted model, not a curated record
CUCAACAGCAAUAAAAAAUUUAAGUUCCACUUUUAACGAUGAAGUGGUUUGGCACCUUUAGAAAGACUUACAAAUGCUUAUUUUUGAUACUUACUUUCAAAUGUUGCGAAAUACCUCCGUAUUAGGUGCUUUUACCUUAUAUACUGUAUUAUUU